Molecule: ribosomal RNA, 254 nt
Filed under: uncultured bacterium
Lineage: Bacteria
Description: partial 16S ribosomal RNA
Rfam family: Bacterial small subunit ribosomal RNA
Source: RNAcentral
UACAGGGGGUGCAAACGUUGCUCGGAAUCAUUGGGCGUAAAGCGCACGUAGGCGGUCUGUCGCGUCGGCUGUGAAAACUCGGGGCUCAACUCCGAGCUUGCAGUCGAUACGGGCAGGCUAGAGUUCGGCAGGGGGAGACUGGAAUUCCUGGUGUAGCGGUGAAAUGCGCAGAUAUCAGGAGGAACACCGGUGGCGAAGGCGGGUCUCUGGGCCGAUACUGACGCUGAGGAGCGAAAGCGUGGGGAGCGAACAGG